UGCGUAGGCGGAUUAUUAAGUCAGUGGUGAAAGUCUUCAGCUUAACUGAAGAAGUGCCAUUGAUACUGGCAGUCUUGAGUACAGUAGAGGUAGGCGGAAUUUAUGGUGUAGCGGUGAAAUGCAUAGAUACCAUAAAGAACACCGAUAGCGUAGGCAGCUUACUAUACUGUAACUGACGCUGAGGCACGAAAGCGUGGGGAGCGAACAGGAUUAGAUACCCUGGUAGUCC
RNAcentral lists this ribosomal RNA (229 nucleotides) under uncultured bacterium. Its description in RNAcentral is "partial 16S ribosomal RNA". It matches the Rfam family "Bacterial small subunit ribosomal RNA", at positions 568 to 796 of the family's 1533-position model. The record is from RNAcentral.